Molecule: ribosomal RNA, 706 nt
Filed under: Lialis burtonis
Lineage: Eukaryota; Metazoa; Chordata; Lepidosauria; Squamata; Pygopodidae
Description: partial 16S ribosomal RNA
Rfam family: Archaeal large subunit ribosomal RNA (bases 277-444)
Source: RNAcentral
GCGUCAAAGCGUACUUUCCCCAAAUUUUAGACGCCCACUCCCCCUCCCCCUGACAGCCCACUAAGCAACUCUAUUUAAUAAUAGAAGAACCAAUGCUAAAACUAGUAAUAAGAACCCCUUCUCCCUACACACCCCUCAAUCAGAAAUAGAUUAACUACUGAAAAUUAACAAACUACAAAAAGAAGUAAAACAAAACCAAGCCAAAAUUUUCCACAAUUUGUGACACCAACACAGGAGUGAAUUAAGGACAGAUUAAAAGCCCAACAAGGAAUUCAGCUAAUAGACUCCAACUGUUUACCAAAAACAUAGCCUUUAGCAAAACAAGUAUUAAAGGUUUCGCCUGCCCAGUGUUUUUCAACGGCCGCGGUAUCCUAACCGUGCAAAGGUAGCGUAAUCAUUUGUCUCCUAAAUAGAGACUCGUAUGAACGGCUAAAUGAGAGCCUAACUGUCUCCUAAGGCCAAUCAAUGAAACUGAUCUCCCAGUACAAAAGCUGGGAUAACCACAUAAGACGAGAAGACCCUGUGGAGCUUAAAAUACCCCCCUAUUUUUUCAACUAUAAACCACGGAAACAACCACAUAAAAGCAUAGGGAGUACUUUUUAGUUGGGGCGACUUUGGAAUACAAAAAAACUUCCAUGAAUAGGGCCUUCCCUAUCAAGGCCUACUAGCCUAAAUAAACAACUCUUGACCCAGACAUCUGAUCAAC